AAUUGUCGAUCAGUCGGUUUCGGAGCGUGCACACUGGUACCCGAAAGAUGGUGAACUAUGCUUGAGCAGAAUGAAGCCAGAGGAAACUCUGGUGGAAGUUCGUAGCGGUGUUGACGUGCAAAUCACUCGUCUGACUUGAGUGUAGGGGCGAAAGACUAAUCGAACCAUCUAGUUGCUGGUUCCUUCCGAAGUUUCCCUCAGGAUAGCUGGCAUUUGUUUGUAACAAUUUUAUCCGGUAGAGCGAAUGAUUAGAGGUGUUGGGAACGCAAUGUUCUCAGCCUAUUCUCAAACUUCGAAUGGGUAAGCAAGGCGUUUUGCUUUGAUUUUACGAUGAAAUCGCCCAAUUAGA
Non-coding RNA from Trichinella spiralis, 349 nucleotides. The record is from Rfam. NCBI's taxonomy places the organism in Eukaryota, Metazoa, Nematoda, Enoplea, Trichinellida, Trichinellidae.